Molecule: ribosomal RNA, 253 nt
Filed under: uncultured bacterium
Lineage: Bacteria
Description: partial 16S ribosomal RNA
Rfam family: Bacterial small subunit ribosomal RNA
Source: RNAcentral
UACAGAGGGUGCGAGCGUUAAUCGGAAUUACUGGGCGUAAAGCGCACGUAGGCGGCUUGGUAUGUCGGGUGUGAAAUCCCCGGGCUCAACCUGGGAACUGCAUCCGAAACUGCCUUGCUCGAGUAUGGGAGAGGGAAGUGGAAGUUCCGGUGUAGCGGUGAAAUGCGUAGAUAUCGGAAGGAACAUCAGUGGCGAAGGCGACUUCCUGGACCAAUACUGACGCUCAGGUGCGAAAGCGUGGGGAGCAAACAGG